AUCUCAUAUAGAGAUUGCUGUGUUCUUAAGAAUCUUAUAGUUUUUCUGAAGGAGGGGGAGUGAGAGAGCAGUUGUGGUGAGUUUAGCAGCCCAUCAGAGUGAAACCUCCACAUAUGUCAUGACAAAAGUAUAUGUCAAGGAAACUACAACUACCCCAGCAGAAAAGGGAUCUCUGAGGUUGUGCAAGUGAAAGGUGACUAUUUCAGAUGUUAUUCUACAGAGGAAAUACUUGUGCACCUAAGUUCAAAAUUCUUGUGUCAGUAAGUAUUCUGGGAUUUCUAAGAAUCUAGAAAAGAAAAAGAGAAAUAAUCAACAUCAAUUUAAUUCCCCCUCCUGCCCCCUUUAAAAAAAAAAAAAGGAAAAAAAAACAAACACCCAACUGGUUAUGGGAUUCAGAAGAGAAUACCUGAAUCAUGGCUGAGGCGUGCUCAUUCCCAAGGCACUUGUCACCAGACUGUUGGUUCCUGAAGGAUCGCCACACCUUUGCAGCUGUCUCAUUCUCAGGUGAGACAGAUUGAUGGGUUGUGUAUGCUGGAGGAGCUCCUUUCUUUUAACACAUGACCCUGUGCUACAGGGUUAGUGAAAGCUACUGUGCUACCACAGUCAUCAGCCAGGCCCGAGCCAUGACAAACCCCACAGUGCUGGAGAACUAGGCUGAAGAUACUAUUGAUUAGCUUAAUGGUGUUGCCACUACCUUGAGUAUGGCUAUAGUUUGUGUUGUGGAUGUGCUUGCUUUUCAGCACUGGUAUCAUAAAGGUUUUUGUUGUUACUACAGGGAAGCAUGGAGAUAAAGCAAAUCACUUUAAAAGUACAUUCUGCAUACACUUGGGUAUUUCUUUUGGUGGCUCAGCUCUGUACAUAUAAUUAUGAUCCUUGAUUACAUGAACCUUAGUUUUUGUUUCUAAGACAAUCUUCUGACUUCUCACAUUGAACUCUGUAUCACACAUGUUCAGUUUAUGAAGCUUACAAGUGAGGUCUUGCAAGAAAAUAUUCUCUGCUCAUUCCAGUACUCAUUCCAGUUUUCUGUGCUCACCUAUUCUUUUGAUCUCUGAGAUGCUUCGUCUUUCUUUUUGAUGUCACAUGAAGGAGGAAGAUGAAAGAAAUGUCAAAACAGAAGAACAGGAAAAUUGAGAAAGCACAACAGCUGUGACAAGAAAAUAAUGUGAGCUUUAAUCAAUUAGCAAGAGAUACCAGAUUCUGCUACAGAUAGAAUGAUUUAAAUGUAGAGGGUGUGAAUGGCAGGGCAUAUGGCUAAAAAGAGUGAUGUAGAUAUUAGUCACUGUUCUUUAUCAGCACCCACAAAGUUUUACAGGAAGUAUCAGUCCCUUCGCAUACUUGAUUCAUGCAG
Gallus gallus (chicken) is the source of this 1348-nucleotide long non-coding RNA. RefSeq lists it as uncharacterized. The transcript is spliced from 3 exons. The record is from RefSeq and is a predicted model, not a curated record. Lineage: Eukaryota; Metazoa; Chordata; Aves; Galliformes; Phasianidae.